AUGAAUGUGUUAAGCUGGAACUGCCGGGGAGGGGGGAAUCCCCGGACAGUUUGAGAGUUGGCAACAAUCACACAGUCGCAUUCCCCCAACAUGGUGUUUUUGUGUGAGACGAGGCAAAAGGCUGAUAAGAUGAGAAGGAUCCGUGGUCGGUUGGGGUUGAAAGGUUUUACGGGAGUGCACAACAAUGGGAUGAGUGGUGGGCUGGCUCUUUUU
Molecule: ribosomal RNA, 213 nt
Filed under: Triticum aestivum (bread wheat)
Lineage: Eukaryota; Viridiplantae; Streptophyta; Magnoliopsida; Poales; Poaceae
Description: partial small subunit ribosomal RNA
Source: RNAcentral